AUUGAACGCUGGCGGCAUGCCUUACACAUGCAAGUCGAACGGUAACAGGUCUUCGGAUGCUGACGAGUGGCGAACGGGUGAGUAAUACAUCGGAACGUGCCUAGUAGUGGGGGAUAACUACUCGAAAGAGUGGCUAAUACCGCAUGAGAUCUACGGAUGAAAGCAGGGGAUCGCAAGACCUUGUGCUACUAGAGCGGCCGAUGGCAGAUUAGGUAGUUGGUGGGAUAAAAGCUUACCAAGCCGACGAUCUGUAGCUGGUCUGAGAGGACGAUCGCCCACACUGGGACUGAGACACGGCCCAGACUCCUACGGGAGGCAGCAGUGGGGAAUUUUGGACAAUGGGCGAAAGCCUGAUCCAGCAAUGCCGCGUGCAGGAUGAAGGCCUUCGGGUUGUAAACUGCUUUUGUACGGAACGAAAAGCCCCGGGUUAAUACCCUGGGGUCAUGACGGGACCGUAAGAAUAAGCACCGGCUAACUACGUGCCAGCCGCCGCGGUAA
Molecule: ribosomal RNA, 498 nt
Filed under: uncultured bacterium
Lineage: Bacteria
Description: partial 16S ribosomal RNA
Rfam family: Bacterial small subunit ribosomal RNA
Source: RNAcentral